AGUCUUGAGGUGUUUGCACAACAGAUUGCAAGUCUGUAGGAGCAGGUUAGACUCUUGCCGGGACUU
Molecule: transfer RNA, 66 nt
Filed under: Sillago sp. 1 SS-2021
Lineage: Eukaryota; Metazoa; Chordata; Actinopteri; Sillaginidae
Description: tRNA-Cys
Rfam family: tRNA
About the family: Transfer RNA (tRNA) molecules are approximately 80 nucleotides in length. Their secondary structure includes four short double-helical elements and three loops (D, anti-codon, and T loops).
Source: RNAcentral